RNAcentral lists this ribosomal RNA (527 nucleotides) under Oxyartes cf. lamellatus. RNAcentral describes it as "partial 16S ribosomal RNA". It matches the Rfam family "Bacterial large subunit ribosomal RNA", at positions 1810 to 2607 of the family's 2925-position model. The record is from RNAcentral. Lineage: Eukaryota; Metazoa; Arthropoda; Insecta; Phasmatodea; Lonchodidae.
AAAACAUCUUUUCUUGUUUAUUAUUUGAAAUAUAACCUGCCCAAUGAUAAUAAUUUUAAUGGCCGCGGUAUUUUGACCGUGCAAAGGUAGCAUAAUCAUUAGUUCAUUAAUUGUGGACUUGUAUGAAUGGUUGGACGAGACAUUAACUGUCUCAUUUUUAUUAUUAGAAUUUAAAGUUUAAGUUAAAAUGCUUAAAUAUUAUUAAAGGACGAGAAGACCCUAUAGAUCUUUAUUUAUACUAUAUUUAUUAUUUUUUGAUUAAAAUUUUUGUAAUAAUUAUUUUAUAUUUUUGGUUGGGGUGACAUUAAGAUAUAAUAAACUCUUUUUUGUUUAAUUCAAUUAUUUUUGUUUAAUUGACCUUUUUUUAUUGUUAAAAGAUUAAGAUACCUUAGGGAUAACAGCGUAAUUCUUUUUUAGAGUUCUUAUCGACAAAAGAGAUUGCGACCUCGAUGUUGGAUUAAGAUUAUAUUAUGGUGUAGGUGCUGUAAAUAUUAAGUCGUUCGACUUUUAAAAUCUUACAUGAUCUG